Globicephala melas (long-finned pilot whale) is the source of this 1438-nucleotide long non-coding RNA. RefSeq lists it as uncharacterized. NCBI's taxonomy places the organism in Eukaryota, Metazoa, Chordata, Mammalia, Artiodactyla, Delphinidae. The record is from RefSeq and is a predicted model, not a curated record.
UGCUGCAUAUGGCUCGGCCAGCUCGGGGAAGUGACUGCUCAAGAGCAACCGAAUUCCCCAAGACUCUGGUCAGGCGCCAGGAGGACACCUAAAGCCCUCGGAAUGGCUUCUAGGAAUAUUACCACCCGCUGUACCAAUUCACCUGACAUCGUGGCAGGAAGUUGCACUAGAGGUGGUAUCCUGAUAUGAGGGUCUCCUACAGCACCUGGCCUUGGAAGUAUGUGGAUAAUAGAAAAGAAACAAGGUUUGAGAGCUUCAUCUGGCUUUGCACCCAUGAACAAACCAUUUAAAUAUGGCUUUGCUGGUUCUUAAACUUGAGUGCGCAUCAGAACUAUCCCGAGGGGCUGUGGAAACACUGAUUGCUGGGCUCCAUCCCCAGAGUUUCUGAUGCAGGUGGUCUGGGGUGGAAACUGAGAAUUUGCAUUUCGAGCAUGUUCCCGGGUGCUGCUGCUGCUACAGGGACCAGGCUAGAAAGAAGUACUUGCUUAGACGAAGCUCUGCCUUAGCCAGUGUCACUCUGCACUUUUGUAUCAUUGUGAUACCAAGGACAGCUUCAUCGUCAAUGUUGCAGGACUCCAUCCAAGACCCAAAGGUGUACCAAUGAAGAUUUUAAGGGGGACUGUGGAAAUCAGGCUGAGGGCUGGGCAACACCAGAGGGCACCAAGUCUUGAGCAUCUGAUCCCAAGUGGUCCCAGAGGCACUUGAACCUUUCCUCACUCCUCAAGUGGGUGUGGGUUCCAUGUUUCCCUGGGUAUGUGAUAUCUCUGAGCUGACCCCCAUGGUCGGCUUUGAUCAGAGGUCCUGGAACACCCAGAGCAGCCUGGAGCUGAGCAGUUCCCCAAGCCGUCCUCUCACCAGGAGCACCAGUGCCCUCCACGACGUCUCCGUCACCAAGAAUGGAGGUCCAGCCAGCAUCAUCCCUCAGCUCGGGUGGGGGUGGAGUUGGGGAGGGCACAUCCAGGCAUUUGUCUGAUGCAAUGGGUAUUAAAAGAUGCAGGAACUUUGAGGUCAAGUCAGACAGGCAGUCCUCAUAUUAACGAUUGAAAACAAAAAAUGAAACAUUAGUUUCAUUUCAACUUCCUCAGGAAGAAGGCAGUGGAAAUCACUGAAAAGACAUAAGCUGUUUUCAGUUGGAAAAUAUCGGAUAUAUUAGGUUAGAAAUCAUAGAUAUAUUUCCAAAAGGAUUAAGUAGAAACCUUAUUUUGGUCCUCACGACAAUCAAAAUUUCCCAGUAGCCUGGAAACCAUGAAUCCUCGGAUGCUUCUAAUUCACAGUUCAAGUCUGCAGUUUUUCUAGGAAGCUUCUGGUGAGUUUCAAAAGGCAAUGGAGCCCGGCCCUGUUCCCUCAGGUGCUGCCCUCUAGUGGCCACCUGAACACCUGCAACUAAGGCUUUCUCUUGGAUUCUGCACGUCUAUUUCUUCAGAUCAAAGCAACCAGA